Molecule: transfer RNA, 82 nt
Filed under: bacterium
Lineage: Bacteria
Description: tRNA-Thr
Rfam family: tRNA
About the family: Transfer RNA (tRNA) molecules are approximately 80 nucleotides in length. Their secondary structure includes four short double-helical elements and three loops (D, anti-codon, and T loops).
Source: RNAcentral
GCCGACGUGGCUGAGUGGUUGAAGGCACCGCACUUGUAAUGCGGUCCGAAAGGCAUCGCCGGUUCGAAUCCGGCCGUCGGCU